Molecule: ribosomal RNA, 494 nt
Filed under: uncultured bacterium
Lineage: Bacteria
Description: partial 16S ribosomal RNA
Rfam family: Bacterial small subunit ribosomal RNA
Source: RNAcentral
ACUCAAAGGAAUAGACGGGGACCCGCACAAGCGGUGGAUGAUGUGGAUUAAUUCGAUGCAACGCGAAAAACCUUACCUACCCUUGACAUGGCAAGAACCUCCGAGAGAUUGGAGGGUGCUCGAAAGAGAACUUGUACACAGGUGCUGCAUGGCUGUCGUCAGCUCGUGUCGUGAGAUGUUGGGUUAAGUCCCGCAACGAGCGCAACCCUUGUCAUUAGUUGCUACGAAAGAGCACUCUAAUGAGACUGCCGGUGACAAACCGGAGGAAGGUGGGGAUGACGUCAAGUCCUCAUGGCCCUUAUGGGUAGGGCUUCACACGUCAUACAAUGGUACAUACAGAGGGCCGCCAACCCGCGAGGGGGAGCUAAUCCCAGAAAGUGUAUCGUAGUCCGGAUUGUAGUCUGCAACUCGACUGCAUGAAGUUGGAAUCGCUAGUAAUCGCGGAUCAGCAUGUCGCGGUGAAUACGUUCCCGGGUCUUGUACACACCGCCCGU